RNAcentral lists this ribosomal RNA (420 nucleotides) under uncultured bacterium. RNAcentral's name for it is "bacterial SSU rRNA". It matches the Rfam family "Bacterial small subunit ribosomal RNA", at positions 359 to 776 of the family's 1533-position model. The record is from RNAcentral.
GAAUAUUGGACAAUGGGCGCAAGCCUGAUCCAGCCAUGCCGCGUGCAGGAUGACGGUCCUAUGGAUUGUAAACUGCUUUUAUACAGGAAGAAACCCCUUCUCGUGAGAAGGAUUGACGGUACUGUAGGAAUAAGGAUCGGCUAACUCCGUGCCAGCAGCCGCGGUAAUACGGAGGAUCCAAGCGUUAUCCGGAAUCAUUGGGUUUAAAGGGUCCGUAGGCGGUUUUAUAAGUCAGUGGUGAAAUCCGGCAGCUCAACUGUCGAACUGCCAUUGAUACUGUAGAACUUGAAUUAUUGUGAAGUAACUAGAAUAUGUAGUGUAGCGGUGAAAUGCUUAGAGAUUACAUGGAAUACCAAUUGCGAAGGCAGGUUACUAACAAUCAAUUGACGCUGAUGGACGAAAGCGUGGGUAGCGAACAGG